AUGAGGCUGCCCAUCCCCGUCAUGGUCUCUGACGGAGUUAGUGAACAUAGAGCAUUAUCAAUUCAUAAAUUACUUGGUUACAUGGGGCGGAGCCAGGAUCGGACCACGCUCCUGCUCUGGGCCAAACACGACGAACACUAUAGAACAAUAGCAAAAGGCAUCGACAAAUGUUGGACGUCUUUAUUUGAAGCUUUUACGGUCAAAUAUGGCAGUGUAGUGAAUCAAUUCAAUGGAAAUCGCACAAGACUUGGCAGCUGGGCUUUGACAAGUGUUGGACCUCCCCUGACUUAUAACUACACCCAUCCAAAUGCAAUGUGCAAUAACCUUACUUGCAUAAACACAAGGUACAAGGGAUCUAAAGCUAGCCGGAGAGGAGAGGAGACCAGCGGCAAGAUGUACAACAACCCUCCGCCACCACAGGGCAUGUCCUACUACGAGCACGCGCAGAAGCGCCACCAGGAGAAGGGCUGCCUCUAUGCCUGUCUCGUUCCCGACCAUGCCCAUACCCAGAGCAUGCACGACACACCCAUCAUGGUCAUGGGCCUCACCGAUAGGUGGUGGAUUCAUUCUAGCCCGUCAAAACUGACCACCCAACUAGACUAG
This 603-nucleotide ribosomal RNA is filed under the name Triticum aestivum (bread wheat). RNAcentral's name for it is "partial small subunit ribosomal RNA". The record is from RNAcentral. Lineage: Eukaryota; Viridiplantae; Streptophyta; Magnoliopsida; Poales; Poaceae.